AAAGGAAUAGACGGGGGCCCGCACAAGCAGUGGAGUAUGUGGUUUAAUUCGACGCAACGCGAAGAACCUUACCAGGGCUUGACAUAUACGGGAAUACUUGCGAAAGUAAGUAGCUCUUCGGAGCCCGUAUACAGGUGGUGCAUGGUUGUCGUCAGCUCGUGUCGUGAGAUGUUGGGUUAAGUCCCGCAACGAGCGCAACCCCUGUCCUUAGUUGCCAGCACGUAAUGGUGGGAACUCUAAGGAGACUGCCGGUGAUAAAUCGGAGGAAGGUGGGGACGACGUCAAAUCAUCAUGCCCUAUAUGUCCUGGGCUACACACGUACUACAAUGGCUGUAACAGAGGGAUGCGAACCCGCGAGGGGGAGCGAAACCCAAAAAAGCAGUCUCAGUUCGGAUUGAAGGCUGAAAUUCGCCUUCAUGAAGCCGGAAUUGCUAGUAAUGGCAGGUCAGCAUACUGCCGUGAAUACGUUCCCGGGCCUUGUACACACCGCCCGU
This 494-nucleotide ribosomal RNA is filed under the name uncultured bacterium. RNAcentral's name for it is "bacterial SSU rRNA". It matches the Rfam family "Bacterial small subunit ribosomal RNA", at positions 903 to 1397 of the family's 1533-position model. The record is from RNAcentral.